Molecule: non-coding RNA, 115 nt
Organism: Triticum aestivum (bread wheat)
Lineage: Eukaryota; Viridiplantae; Streptophyta; Magnoliopsida; Poales; Poaceae
Source: Rfam
CAUGUACUCCCUCCGUUCCAAAUUACUUGUCGCUGAAAUGGAUGUAUCUAGAACAAAAAUACAUCUAGAUACAUCCAUACGUGCGACAAGUAAUGUGGAACGGAGGGAGUAUCAU